GGCGGCAUAGCCAAGUGGUAAGGCAACGGAUUGCAAAUCCGUCAUCGUCGGUUCGACUCCGACUGCCGCCUCCA
RNAcentral lists this transfer RNA (74 nucleotides) under Planctomycetota bacterium. RNAcentral describes it as "tRNA-Cys". It matches the Rfam family "tRNA". Rfam says of the family: Transfer RNA (tRNA) molecules are approximately 80 nucleotides in length. Their secondary structure includes four short double-helical elements and three loops (D, anti-codon, and T loops). The record is from RNAcentral. Lineage: Bacteria; Pseudomonadati; Planctomycetota.